RNAcentral lists this ribosomal RNA (360 nucleotides) under Triticum aestivum (bread wheat). RNAcentral describes it as "partial small subunit ribosomal RNA". Lineage: Eukaryota; Viridiplantae; Streptophyta; Magnoliopsida; Poales; Poaceae. The record is from RNAcentral.
AUGCCUGCAACCACGCCCGAGCUCCCGUCGGUUCGCCUCAACCCAGGCAGCAGCCGACGCCUUCCUCUCGCCAUGAUCUGGUCGUCCCCGCGUCGCCGUACGCCGGAGCGCUGCGACCGCUCGCCGGUGAAUCCAUUGCGCUCUUCUCUUUGCUUCUCCUCCUUCUUCCUCAUCUACAUGCCAUGCGGCCAGGGAUGGCUCACGCCAAUGCUCGGCUCGGCGCCAGACUCUCCAUGCCUGGCGGCCAGGACAGCUCUGCUCCGCGCGCUGCGGGCAGCAUCUGCACUAGGGCGCGUUGACCGUCGGCGUUGUGGUGCCAGCGGCCACAGCCGCAGACCAUGCCCUCGGUCACGUUCCUAG